This 684-nucleotide long non-coding RNA is filed under the name Trifolium pratense (red clover). Its description in RNAcentral is "long non-coding RNA (TPRA_LNC009601)". Lineage: Eukaryota; Viridiplantae; Streptophyta; Magnoliopsida; Fabales; Fabaceae. The record is from RNAcentral.
AAGUGCUACUAUAAAAGUUAGGGUGCCAAAUUUGGAGGUUUAUGAAAAUUAGGAGACCAAAAAUACAAUUUAACUUUUUUUUCUUUUUUUUUUUUAGUCCAUAAUAAUAACCUACAUUGCAUAUAUGUUGCACCUUAAAAAAAUUGUCUCAAUACAAUAUAAUUUUGUGUCUUUUUUAAUAAAAAUGUUAAUAUUUUUACUCUUUUUGUAUUUUAAAACGAGACCUACUUAUUAUCAUUCUUUUUUUUUUUACUCCUUUUGAUCAUGAGACAAUCAAAUGGAGGAAAUAAUUUUUUCCUUAUUCCUUUAAUUUAACUCAAUAUUUCUUUUAUCUUCUUUUCUACUAAUUCAAACAAUGCGUUGAAGUUGGGGGUUAGGUUGUGCAUGGUUAUUGCAUUCUUUGACUUCAAAACAACAUUUGCUUGUAGAAAAAUGGUGACGUUAUGUGGUUUUAUAUUUCUAAGAAAAUUAUUAAUUGCAAUGUUUCUUCAAAAUGAACCACUAAAACCACUAAAGCUAAUGAUUCAUGUCUAGGUACAUUAUUUCUAACACUAAAAUGUUCACUCACAAAAUAGAUCUUAGAUUCGAAUUCAGUAACCACUCAAUUAUUUAUCAAGUCGUGGAUCUUAAAUUCGGUAAGGAUCAAUGAAUAAAUCAGCCAUUCAGAAAAUAACAAAGUGAAAA